ACACACACACACACACACACACACAAUACCCUCCCCCAGCAGAAGAGUCGGGAAACCCAUGUGGAUGGCCGAACAGGGACCCUCGCCUGUCGUGGUAGCAAGAGAUGCGACACAAAAGCAAGAUAGAGUCGGGGACUAAAGAGCCUUAAGUGUCUUCUGGAGAAGACGGAUCUUCGUCCUGUGGCAGAAGAGAAACUGCUAGCUUGCAAAUUGGGGUGAAACGAUAUUUCAUUAAGACAUACCGAGCAAAGCACAGAAAAUGGAUUGGAGCCGGGAGAGGCUGGAGGCGGGGAGACCGAGGAGAGGUCCUGGUGAGGCACAAAGCGUCAAACCCUGCAGGGCCGUGGAAUUGACAUGUGCUUAUUACCACGUUUGCUUCCUGAAACCAAACCGAGUGAUUUGAAGGCCCGUCUUGAGCGAGCGCUCAGAGAGUCACAUCAAUCAGGGAGCGUGAUGGCCCAGAGCGAUCCCCGCCAGGAGCCAGCGCCCAGACUCAGGGGCUCACCGCUGCUUUGGAAAUACCGGCCCGUCUUCCUGGUCAGCGUGAUGCUAGAAACAGCAGUAAUAAUUUACGGGACACUCGCUCUGAUUCAGGUUUUAGGAUGAAUUAUUCAAGCUGACAUCUCUCCCGACCUGCAUGUUUUAAUAGUUGGAGAACCCUGGGGGUGGGGUGCGACCUGGCUGCCAGGGUCUCAGGCUCAGGAGGAAACAGAGGGGCUUGAGUUCUGUGUGGCUGGAGGGUCCAGGAAGGGACUCUUGCUUAGGGCCCCGCUAUUUCUCCUGUCCUUUUUUAAAUUAAAACAACCAGACCCUGGGACA
Non-coding RNA from Sus scrofa (pig), 819 nucleotides. The record is from RefSeq and is a predicted model, not a curated record. Lineage: Eukaryota; Metazoa; Chordata; Mammalia; Artiodactyla; Suidae.